RNAcentral lists this ribosomal RNA (684 nucleotides) under uncultured Lysobacterales bacterium. RNAcentral's name for it is "bacterial SSU rRNA". It matches the Rfam family "Bacterial small subunit ribosomal RNA", at positions 62 to 734 of the family's 1533-position model. The record is from RNAcentral. Lineage: Bacteria; Pseudomonadati; Pseudomonadota; Gammaproteobacteria; Lysobacterales.
UCGAACGGUAGCACAGUAAGAGCUUGCUCUUAUGGGUGGCGAGUGGCGGACGGGUGAGGAAUACAUCGGAAUCUACUCUUUCGUGGGGGAUAACGUAGGGAAACUUACGCUAAUACCGCAUACGACCUACGGGUGAAAGCGGAGGACCUUCGGGCUUCGCGCGAUUGAAUGAGCCGAUGUCGGAUUAGCUAGUUGGCGGGGUAAAGGCCCACCAAGGCGACGAUCCGUAGCUGGUCUGAGAGGAUGAUCAGCCACACUGGAACUGAGACACGGUCCAGACUCCUACGGGAGGCAGCAGUGGGGAAUAUUGGACAAUGGGCGCAAGCCUGAUCCAGCCAUGCCGCGUGGGUGAAGAAGGCCUUCGGGUUGUAAAGCCCUUUUGUUGGGAAAGAAAAGCAGUCGGUUAAUACCCGAUUGUUCUGACGGUACCCAAAGAAUAAGCACCGGCUAACUUCGUGCCAGCAGCCGCGGUAAUACGAAGGGUGCAAGCGUUACUCGGAAUUACUGGGCGUAAAGCGUGCGUAGGUGGUGGUUUAAGUCUGUUGUGAAAGCCCUGGGCUCAACCUGGGAAUUGCAGUGGAUACUGGGUCACUAGAGUGUGGUAGAGGGUAGCGGAAUUCCCGGUGUAGCAGUGAAAUGCGUAGAGAUCGGGAGGACAUCCGUGGCGAAGGCGGCUACCUGGAC